AAACUUACCAGGUCAAGACAUGGGCGUGAUUGACAGGCUAAUGACUUUUCUCGAUUCCAUGGAUGGUGGUGCAUGGUCGCACUUAGUUGGUGCAGUGAUUUGUCAGGUUUAUUCCGGUAACGAACGAGACCUCGGCCUUGUAAAUAACUAUGCUGCUUACAGGGACAUUGGCGGCUACGCCAAGGAAGCUCGAGGCAAUUGCAGAUCUGGAAUGCCCUUAGAUGUCCUGGGUCGCACGCGUGCUACAAUGACGCCACGAACGAGCUUGCGUGAUGAAAGUUACGCAUAAUCAGCAGUCGGCGUCUUAAGGGAUAGUCUCUUGUAACUGUGGGACUCCAACUAGGAAUGUCUCGUAAGCACAAGUCAACAUCUUGUGUUGAUUACGUCCCUGCUCUUUGUACACACCGCCCGUCGCUCCUACCGAUCGAGUGUUUAGGUGAAUUUGAUGGACGUAAGGAAGUCAAAUAAACCUGAGCACUAGAGAAGAGAAGUCGAUCCUG
RNAcentral lists this ribosomal RNA (500 nucleotides) under uncultured Myrionecta. RNAcentral's name for it is "bacterial SSU rRNA". It matches the Rfam family "Eukaryotic small subunit ribosomal RNA", at positions 1211 to 1798 of the family's 1831-position model. The record is from RNAcentral. Lineage: Eukaryota; Ciliophora; Litostomatea; Cyclotrichida; Mesodiniidae.